AGGUUUUAAAACAUAGUAUAAUUUUUUCUUAAGAAGGCUUAAAAUUUAACUUCAAAUUUAAAAAAAUCUCAAAACCAGAAUAAUGUUGAGCCGGGGGACCAGAAUAAUGUUGAGCCGGGGCUGGAGGUACGUAAAUACUUUUUCCUACAAAAUUUGAUACUGGAAAAAGGUUAAAACGUUAACGCAGUUUAAUGCACACCCCAAGAUAUUAUAUAUGGUUUCGGAUCGAUGAUCGUAAUAUUUUUUGGUACUACUAAUUAUAUAUGUUAUCUUGACUAUUAAUAAAACUCUAUUUUUAUUCGUCAAGAUCAUCGAACCCGGUAAUAGAUAUUACAGUAAGAAUUUUUAAAGGUUUAGCAAUAUCGAGGUUUUAGUAACAAGUUCUUAUAAAAUAACAAUAACAAUAGUCUAUGUAUGGAGAAGGAAGUGUCGUCCGUCCGAGGAAAAAGUGUAAUCUAUAGUGAAUUUAAUAGGGUCGGAGAGAAUUGUCUAUAGUAUAAUCGUCAUUGUAACCGUUCUCAUAAUUUACUACCAUUAAUAAUUAAGAGUUUAUUAAUGGUAGUCAACGAUGUUUGCAAUCUGUGUUUGGUGAGUAUGGAAAUGGUGGUUUGGUAAUGUCUUUGGUUCUACUAGUAAAUGUCAAGAUAGGAGGCUUUGGUAAAGAACCUAACGCGGAAAGUUUACUUGGCACACACUACUAUGGGAACAAGGCAUAAUAAUACUCCGAGGGAAGAGCGGUUGAUUAAGUGGCUCUUUCCAAAUUAAGGGUGGGUGAAAUUGAAAACACAUGGAGCUUCUCGAGGCAAUCUCGGGUUAGCUACUGCUAGAGGCAUACUACAAGAUGAAGAACUGGUGUGGAGUUAUGAGGAAUCAGUGAAUCUCAUCCACUGUCCUUUAUAGUACGAAUAUGCUAUGAUUUUUUAUCAAAAAAUUGGUUAGUCGUAUUUCGCAUUGUAUGGAAAAGCUAAUCGUUAAGCAAAUGGAUUAGCGAGUUCAUCGUGUCUGGGGUUCCAUAUGUUUCACUGCUAGACAUUGUAGAUAUGUUCGUUUGUACUUAUUUUUUCUCGCUUAAUAAUAUUUUAUGGGGAUUUGUCUA
Molecule: long non-coding RNA, 1096 nt
Organism: Capsella rubella
Lineage: Eukaryota; Viridiplantae; Streptophyta; Magnoliopsida; Brassicales; Brassicaceae
Exons: 2
Source: RefSeq, a predicted model, not a curated record